Molecule: ribosomal RNA, 498 nt
Filed under: uncultured bacterium
Lineage: Bacteria
Description: bacterial SSU rRNA
Rfam family: Bacterial small subunit ribosomal RNA
Source: RNAcentral
GAUGAACGCUAGCGGCAGGCUUAAUACAUGCAAGUCGUGGGGCAGCAGGUUUGUAGCAAUACAGAUGCUGGCGACCGGCAAGCGGGUGCGGAACACGUACAGAACCUUCCUUUGAGCGGGGAAUAGCCCAGAGAAAUUUGGAUUAAUACCCCAUAGUAUAAUGAAGUGGCAUCACUUUAUUAUUAAAGAUUUAUCACUCGAAGAUGGCUGUGCGGCUGAUUAGGUAGUUGGCGGGGUAAAGGCCCACCAAGCCUGCGAUCAGUAACUGGUGUGAGAGCACGACCAGUCACACGGGCACUGAGACACGGGCCCGACUCCUACGGGAGGCAGCAGUAAGGAAUAUUGGUCAAUGGAGGCAACUCUGAACCAGCCAUGCCGCGUGGAGGAUGAAGGUCCUCUGGAUUGUAAACUUCUUUAUAUGGGACGAAAAAAGGGCUUUUCUAAGUCGUCUGACGGUACCAUAUGAAUAAGCACCGGCUAACUCCGUGCCAGCAGCCG